UAGGGAAUCUUCGGCAAUUGGGGGAACCCUGACCGAGCAACGCCGCGUGAGUGAAGAAGGUUUUCGGAUCGUAAAGCUCUGUUGUUAAGGAAGAACGAGUGUGAGAAUGGAAAGUUCAUGCUGUGACUGUACUUAAUCAGAAAGGGACGGCUAACUACGUGCCAGCAGCCGCGGUAAUACGUAGGUCCCGAGCGUUGUCUGGAUUUAUUGGGGAUAGAGCGAGCGCAGGCGGUUAGAAAAGUCUGAAGUGAGAGGCAGUGGCUAAACCAAUGUAGGCUUUGGAAACUGUUUAACUUGAAUGCAGAAGAGGAGAGUGGAAUUCGAUGUGUAGCGGUGAUAUGCGUAGAUAUAUGGGGGAACGCCAGUGGAGAAGGCGACUCUCUGGUCUGUAACUGACGCUGAGGCUCGAAAGCGUGGGUAGCAAACAGG
This 429-nucleotide ribosomal RNA is filed under the name Bacteroidota bacterium. RNAcentral's name for it is "Bacteroidetes bacterium partial 16S ribosomal RNA". It matches the Rfam family "Bacterial small subunit ribosomal RNA", at positions 355 to 776 of the family's 1533-position model. The record is from RNAcentral. Lineage: Bacteria; Pseudomonadati; Bacteroidota.